GCAGCCAACAACUCAUUUGGAAAAAAAAUGGAAAAGUUAGAGAGAGAAAUUGGAUCUAAGGAGAAACCCUCAGGACUAAGCAUUUUAUACCAAUUUUGAGUUGUUUGAUAUCUAUAAUGUAGAUCUUGUGUGUCUAUAGUGAUAUAGCUUGAUCCCAAGCUAAAAGAAGCCUAUUUCUUUGCUCCCCAAGGUGAAAAACGCGCAUCUUUCGUCAUUUCAUUGGUAAAUAUUGUUCUAACCACUAGAUCUAUUUCAUGUAUUGUUUGUACCUAGUCAGACUUGUUGGUUUACAUAUAUAUUAUGUAGUAAUUGGUAGAUCCAGAGAUUUUACCGAUUAUUUUCUGUAUGCAUAUUUGGAAACCAAGUCUAGGGACUAGAUCUAGCCGAAUCUAGCACUUUAAACGGUUAUGGAGCUCAAAACUCUAACCUAUAUGCUAGAUCAUUCUUGAUUUUAUUAUUUUAUAUGCAACUGUUAUACUGGUUAUAUUAUUUAACUUUGUUUCGGCUGAUUGGGUGUUUUUGUUAUAUCAUUAUUCAUAUUACCACGUAUUUUUCUCUUAAUUUGUGUUGCUUUUUAUUCAAUGGAGUUUGGUCGCUUUCUGUUGCGAUCUGGUUUUUUAGGUGAGUGUUGUUCUUGGUGGAGGAUCUGCAGUUUCCUUUCCGAUCUGGUUUCAUGAUUUUAUUGCUUAUCUAUGACAUGAUCAGAUUUGGGUUUAGUUUUCAGUAGAUGUCGUUGCUUGGAAUCCACUGUGGUUUAUUCUCUGCUGGUUUUGGGGGUCUAUGCUGAAGCUUAGCCAGAAGUUAUGGUUUGGUGAUUCAUCGCCGGAAUUUCACAUACUGUUCCAUCGGCUCUUACUUGGGCUGCUACCUUGCGGUUCUGAUGGGUUGUCAGAUCUGGGGGUUUGCCGAUGGUCUGUUCGCCGAUCUGGAUCUGCUCCGGCAGUUAGCCGAUUUCCUACUGAUUGGUUAAGUGUUGUAGGGGAUGUCACGUGGGGCUGACUGGCUGUCCCCCACGUGUGGGUUAACCUCUUUGGUACAUGUGAUAUUGACCCUUUUAAAACUUUGAAACCAAAUACUUUUGAAUGUUGGAGUACAUGUGCUAAUGGUCUGCAUAUGUUGCUCCUGCUGGCAUGUGCAGCUACCAUGAUGGGCUGAUAUUUGAGUUCCACUAUCCUUAAUUCAAACUGAUGGUGGAUCUUUAUGUAGCUGUUAUUUUCCUGAAUUUAGUUAAAGGAUGAAUUACAUAUUUUAUUAUAUUUUUGAAAAUAAUUAUAACAAUAGUGUACUCAUAAAAUAUUUACAUAAUUAAUACAAUUUCAUAUUUAUUUACAAUAUUAGUGCAAUUAGAAUUUCUUAAUUUAGAGAAUUAGUAUGCAAUUAUGAUUUCUUAAUUUAGGGAUUAAUUAUCCCCAUGACUUCUUCUUUCUCUCCUCAUCUAGAACAACUGCAUUACUUAGUCAUCACCCUUCUUCUUCAUUUGACGUAUUCUUUAUAUAUAUUUAUUCCUCUAAAAGCAGUAACCGCGAGGAGGUGAUAUUUGCUAUUAGGCUGGGGCUGGGGCUGGGGGAGUGGGGGGCGAGGAGGGAUAAAAGGUCAAGUUCUCACUUAAAGUCAUUAUUCCUACUACUUCUCAUUUACCGUGAAUAGAGAAAUGCUUAGUAUGUGAAUAACAUGUGUCUUGUAUAAGAAUUUGGAUAGGUUCACAUCGUGGAAUAUAAGAUUUUGAAAGCUUCUUCUUAUAAUACAUUAGGUAUGACGAAGGAGGUCAGUUGACAGAAACUGUCCGCAGGAGGCCAUAUGCAGUUAUUUUGUUUGAUGAGAUUGAGAAAGUUCAUUCUGACGUGUUCAAUGUGUUCUUUCAAAUACUGGAUGAUGGUAACCAAACCUUCAUACCAAAGUAACCAAACUGUCAUAUUAAAGUAACCAACCAACCUCCACACUUUAAAUUUUUUCUUAGUGCAGUUGGUAACCAAAUCUUCAGAAGGUAAACAAACUUUCAUACCAAGGUAACAAAACCUUCAUACCACGGUAACCAAUUCACAACCACACCUGCAAUUUUUUCAUAGUACAGUUGGUAGCCAAACCUUCAGACCAAGGUAACCAAUUUAAUUUUAUUAAGUUACCAAUUUCGUUAAAAUAUGAUGCAGUUGGUUGCAAACCAUUCAUACAAAAGUAAUCAUUUUAGUAUUUAUGAGUAACAAAAUGUCAUAAAAAAAAUUUAGAGCAGUAAAAGUUACAUCUAUUUAUUUUAAAACUUUUUGUAGGACGAAUCUUCUUCUUCUUCUCAUUAGCCUUUUGGACAACAGAGAUUUGCGACGGUAUAGCGGCGGAGUAGCGGAAGAGAAGCCGGCGGGAAGAGAGAACUAAAAAAGUAAAAACUGAAAUAGAGCCCAAUUUACAUGUACAAAUAUUUUAUUUAUUUAUUUAUGAACUAUUAUUUCAAAGUGUAUGUGAGGGAGAUAAAGAUUUGAAUUUCAAUAUUUGAAUUUGAAUUAUUAUUUUGAAUUUGAAUUUAUUUUUGUUGUUAGAUCUCAAAUAUUUGAAUUUAAAUUAUUAAGUAUGGAAGUUAGUUCUCCUUGAUUUUAGGUUUUCUUAUUAAUGUGAAUUGUACUAUUUUUGUAAUAUGGGUCCUAAUUACACUCUUUUCGUAAUUAUUUUGUUGAUGCACUAAUGGUGUAAUUACUUUCUAAUUGUUGUAUAUUUCUGUAAAGAAACCUUUAGUUAAUGUUCUUCGAGUCUUUUAAGCCCCACAUGAGUCUAAUUUGGGCCCACGAUUUUGCAACUAAAUUUGUUGAUUUAAAUUACCUAACCUCACGUUGUGAGGAAAAUGUAAUUUGGUUAGGUAUUCUUGUCUCCUAGGCUUUUUAGAUGUUUUAGACCUCUCGGGAGAUGAGGACUAUGCUUUGAUCUUCAUUGUAAUAUGUGACGCCCCCAAAUUCGGGUAUUUUCCAACCCAAUAGAUGGUGCUACACAGUGUUACUGUUCACACAUGCAUUUAAUUAAAAUAAAUCAAUAGAGUGAAUAUGUCUACUAUUUAUUACAUAAUAAUAAUUCCAUUCCCAGGUUCUUUGUAAUCAUUACAUAUGUUCUUCAUCAUAGUAUCAAAUUAAUAUAAAAGUAGUACUAUUCUAUUAUAAGGAUAACUAUUUGUCUACCUUGGUCUUCCCUUUGUCUUUACCAGAACUUUUGUGCUAAGUCCUCCCAUGUAGUAAUUGAUCCAGAAGGCAAAGAAUGAAGCCAACUGCUUGCCUUAUCCCUCAAAGAGAAUGGAAACAACCUCAGUCUAAUAGCAUCCUCCGUCACCCCGUUGUAUCUGAAUGUAUCACAAAUCUCAAUAAAGCUCAACAGGUGUUCAUUCGGAUCAUCUGUAGUAGCACCCCCAAACUGUACCGAAUUCUGCACCAUCUGAAUAGUGCCCAGUUUAAUCUCGAAAGUAUUUGCUGCUAUCGUCGGUCUGACUAUGCUCGACUGUAGUCCAUUAAUGUUCGGCAUGGAAUAAUCUCUUAGAGCCCGGUGCUCUUCUCUUUGCUCUACUCUUUGUUCUUCUGCCAUACUAGAUGUAGUAUCCUCUAACUAUGCUUGCAAAUUUCUCCACACACUCGCUUUCCAACCUCUUCCAUUAAUAUUAUCCUAUGCUGGUAUCAAGUUUGAGUUGGAUGAUCGCGUGUGCAUAAAAAUUAUACAAGUACCUGACACAAAAACAAAAACAAAAAUAGAGUUGAGAUAAGAUUAGAUUUGUCUAAGUCAUACAAUAUAGCUUAAAAUUGAUGAUAAUUAUUUAAAUUUAAACACCUUUCCCCGGCAAUGGCGCCAAAAACUUGUUGCCUCUUUUUUAGUUCUAACAAAAGAGCUCUAAGUCAUGCAAGCAUACAUGUGUCAACAAGCAGUACAGAGUAAGUCGAGUAUCGAUCCAUGGAGAAGGAUGACUAAAUUAAAUUAUUAUGCAUCAACUAAAUUACUAUUUUUAUAUGCUUAAACUAAUGCUUAUAAUUGUGAAUUAUUCUAAACGCAAAGGAUAACUAAAACAAGAAUAAUAAUGUAAUAAAUCAAAUCUGGAAAUAAUGGGAUCCUAACUUCAUUUAAUAGUUCAUCUAACUACCACCAUCAUGCAAGAUUGUUCACGUAUUACAGAAGAGUAGCUAAGAGAACUAAAGCAGACAUAACCAUUUUUCAAUGUAUCAUGGCCUACUCACAUAACAUCCACAUACAAUAGACAUCAUGUAAUCAUCAAUAAAACCAAUUUCACUAUAUUUCUAUGUGAAAUUACACCCUUAUCGAAUUUAAACACAAGCCCUUACAUUAACUCAUACGGUGAAACAAUAUAUGUCUAUCUAAGUCACGAAAUACAAAGCUACACAAAACAGCCUCAUAUACGCAUGCUAUAAUGAUUACAAUCCAUACUCGCAUGUUAUUUUUCAAUACCAUACAAGUACCUAAAACGAAUGGUGAUCAAUCAUUCAUACAUGGAAAACAACCUUGAUAGAAAUUCCUUAUGAUACGCAAAACAAUUCAGCAGUCAAGCAUACAAUUAAACUACAUAUUAAAAUCCGUUAGAAUCCCAUAAUGGAGUUUAGCUCACGACUGAACCAAAAGCCAUUGUGGGAUCAAAGCAAUAUAUAGAUAAUAAGCAAACAAUUGAAAGAGAAAAGAUAGAAUCAAUCAAACCCAAUUGCUAAUUCCAAUCCAGUAGUUACGUUAAAAUCCACACUAAAAUCCAGUAAAGUAACAAUAGUUCAUCCACAGUGAUUGAAAAUCCAAAGAAGAAGUAGACGAUAUGAUGUUUUGGCUUAAUUCUACGUUGGAAAUCUCUCAAAGUGUAAAACCCUAGUUCCAAUAUCAAAAACACAUAAAAACUACUGAAUAAUAUGUCUGGUACCGACCAGAAAUUAUUUUUUAACCAACUACAACUCUUCAAAUUUAAAAAUUAAAAUAAAACAGAUCAGCAGCAUCAGGUGUCGCGCGCGGGCAUGCGAUUCCCUUUUGUAAUCAUCGCGCGGGUGCGCGUGUGCAAAGUCUGGUCCAUCUGAUUGAUUGUGCGGGUGCGCGAGUUUAUUCCUUUGUAGCCGCGCGGUCGCGCGGCUUCUGCAGUUUUGCUUCUGUGUUCUGUUGCUACUACAACUUUGUCCUGCUGCUCAUUCUUGUCCUACUGCUCAUUAUUUUGUCCACCAAUGCUUGGUUUCUUUGCUCCACUCGAUCCUCAUGGUGUGCCUUCAUUGAUCACAUGCCAUCUACCAUCGCCAAGUUAUGCCAUAUCCUGCACUUUUACACCAAAGGAGUUCUCAGUACAUGCAGUGCAAAAUAUUAAGAAAUGCAACUAAAAACACAAUAAAAUGUACUUGAGAUGGGCAUAGUUCUCGUAAAUUGAUAACCAAUAAGUAGGUAUAAAACCCACUUAUCACUUAUGUGCAUAUAUGAACUGUUUAUUGGUAUGAUUAUGACCAGGAAUCAUUCGGUAUAAUCAUGACCUGUAAUGUUAUAGAUGAUGUGGUAAAAGUCCUCAUUGGCCCGUAGUGCAUUGAUGGAUAGUUAUUGGUAUGAUUAUAACUAGGGAUUAUUCGGUAUAAUCAUGACCAUUGACGAUUACAUGAAUAUCCUUGGACGUAGUGUAGGGAUAAUUCGAUGAUGUGGAUUAUUUAUUAAGUUGAGUCUCAGCGAUAACAUAUUGAUUAUACACUUUUAAUUCGUAAAAGAUAGUAGAUAUCAUGCUCUACUUGACUCUUCUAAAAUACAGUUAUAUGUCUUUGGCCUAUAGUGCAAAGAUGAAUUUAUUAGUAUGAUUAUAAGCAGGAAUUGUGAUUUGGUAUAACCAUAAUUUUUGAUGUUCCAGGUGAAGAUAGGUGAUGAAAAUUAUCUUCGUCCUGGGUGCAAAGAGGAAUUUAGAAUCACAAUUAUGAUUAUGAGUUAUUCAUAUGAUUGUGGACAGGAAUUGUUAAUUGAUGUUACAGGAAUAAAACAUUAUUAGUCGACUUUUAAUAUGGAGAAGAUAAUAGACCUGAUGGUCUAUUUGACUCUUCUAAUGGAUUGCUCGUUCCAUUGCAACUAUGGUUGAAAAGUUUUAUCAUCUACCAUAUGUUCUAAAUNNNNNNNNNNNNNNNNNNNNNNNNNNNNNNNNNNNNNNNNNNNNNNNNNNNNNNNNNNNNNNNNNNNNNNNNNNNNNNNNNNNNNNNNNNNNNNNNNNNNNNNNNNNNNNNNNNNNNNNNNNNNNNNNNNNNNNNNNNNNNNNNNNNNNNNNNNNNNNNNNNNNNNNNNNNNNNNNNNNNNNNNNNNNNNNNNNNNNNNNNNNNNNNNNNNNNNNNNNNNNNNNNNNNNNNNNNNNNNNNNNNNNNNNNNNNNNNNNNNNNNNNNNNNNNNNNNNNNNNNNNNNNNNNNNNNNNNNNNNNNNNNNNNNNNNNNNNNNNNNNNNNNNNNNNNNNNNNNNNNNNNNNNNNNNNNNNNNNNNNNNNNNNNNNNNNNNNNNNNNNNNNNNNNNNNNNNNNNNNNNNNNNNNNNNNNNNNNNNNNNNNNNNNNNNNNNNNNNNNNNNNNNNNNNNNNNNNNNNNNNNNNNNNNNNNNNNNNNNNNNNNNNNNNNNNNNNNNNNNNNNNNNNNNNNNNNNNNNNNNNNNNNNNNNNNNNNNNNNNNNNNNNNNNNNNNNNNNNNNNNNNNNNNNNNNNNNNNNNNNNNNNNNNNNNNNNNNNNNNNNNNNNNNNNNNNNNNNNNNNNNNNNNNNNNNNNNNNNNNNNNNNNNNNNNNNNNNNNNNNNNNNNNNNNNUAUUAUUAUGUUGGAAUAACCUGUCUAUGCGAAGUACCGCAUACAUGGUGAAAUUCUUCUAUUAUUUCAUUCUUUAUUAUUCUGUUGGAAUAUCCUUUCUGUGCGGAUUACGCAUGACCUAGUUCCAUUCUUUAUUAUUCUGUUGGGAAUAACAUGUCUGUACGGUCUAUCGCAUGCCUGGUGAAUUCUGUUGUUAUUCCAUUCUUUAUUAUUCUGUUGGAAUAUCCUAUCUAUGCGGAUUACGCAUGACCUGGUUCCAUUCUUUAUUAUUCUAUUGGAAUAUCCUAUCUGUGCGGAUUACGCAUGACCUGGUUCCAUUCUUUAUUGUUCUUUUGGAAUAUCCUGUCUGUGCGGAUUGCGCAUGACCUGGUUCCAUUAUUUAUUAUUCUGUUGGAAUAACCUGUCUGUGCGGUCUAUCGCAUGCCUGGUGAAUUCUUCUGUUAUUCCAUUAUUUAUUAUUCUGCUGGAAUAACCUGUCUGUGUGGACUAACGCAUGCAUGGUGAAUGACCCUUCAUAUUUAUUUCUUAUUAAAUUAUGGAAAUGAUCUGUCUACGUGGAUUACCGCAUGGCGGGAAAAAUCCAUUUGCAGUUUCAUAUACUCUAUUAUACUCAGUUGGUUAAAGUUUUGGCUUCUAUACUCCAUGAAAUUAGUAGAAUAUCCUGGAUAUUUGCACUUCAUCCAAUAUCUUUUCAUGGAAAUAUUCCUCUGAGCAUUCUUGAAUUUUACUCUACAAAGUAGUAUCACGUUGACAAUUUGGACGUUAUUGAUUUCUGGAUAAAUUAGAUUAUAAAUCUUUAAAAUUUAUCCUUGAACUUGUUUUAUUAAAUUAUUAUGUCAUUGUCAUCAUCCUCAUGCUUAUAUUGUGAUGAAAGUCAUAUUUGGUUUACGUGCAUAGAUGGACUCGGCAUGAUUAUGACCAGUGAUUAUUCGGUAUAAUCAUGACCGUAAUGUAACGAAUGAUGUGGUAAAAGUCCUCAUUGACCUGUAGUGCAUUGAUGGACAGUUGUUGGUAUGAUUAUGACCAGGGAUUAUUUGGUAUAAUCAUGACCAUUGAUGAUUACAUGAAUAUCCUUGGUCGUGGUGCAGGGAUGAUUCGAUUUUAUUUAUUAAGUUGAGUCUCAGCGAUAAAGUUGAUGAAAAACUUUUUAAAUCAUAGAAGAUAGUAGAUUUUAUGCUCUACUUGAUUCUUCUAAUGGAUUGCUUAUUUCCGUUGUAGUUGUUGAUCUAAAACUUGUUGUUUAUUGUAUUCUAUCAGUUGUUAUAUUGUUGAAGGCUAAGGAUAAUUUAUUCUGCAUUCUCUUAGUCAUAAUAUUUCUUACUGGGCUAGUUGAGCUCACCCUUUCUUUCAUUGUUCUCUUCAGGAAAUGAGACUAUAGCUGGGACGAGUCGGGGAAUGGAGUGAUGGUCCAGGAUAAAUGGCUUUAGUAGUCCUCACUAUUCUACGGAAUAAUGUGAUAAUAAUUGUAAUGAGGUCACCAUUGAGUGUGGAUAUUGUCUAGAUGACAAUAUUCUUGUUUAAACUCUCAGCUAUGUUUUGUCGUAUUUUACACGACUGUUGUAUAAUUAAGUUGUAUUUGAAUUUAUGUACCAUGUAUCUGGCGUCUCAAGAUGGGUGACGUAUACCUAUUUUGGGGGCGUCACAGUAAGUAAUAUUAUUUCGUUUCAGAUUCCAAAUUCUACACUCAGUUUGUUAAGUAUUGCUUCUAAACUCCUUGAAAUUAGUAGAAUAUCCUUGAAAUUUGCGCUUCAUCUAGUAUCGUUUCACAAGGAUAAUUUUCUAAACAUUAUUGUUAAAGUAUAAUCUUUUCAUGCUGGAAUACUAUUCAUGAGGUACUAUUCAUAAAGUACUAUUCAUGGGUACUAUUCACUCAGGUACUAUUCACCUGGGGUACUAUUCAUGACAAAAAUUGAUUUCUUUUCUAUCCAAAUCAUUUUUGAUACAAUAUUAUUCUUGAAUUUUACUCCACAAAAUAGUUUCAUGUUAACAAUUUGGACAUUAUUGAAUUCUGGAUAAAUUGAAUUAUAAAUUUUUAAAAUUUAACCUUGCUCUCAUUUAAUUGAAUCAUUGUCAUCAUCCUCAUGCUUAUAUUGUGAUAAAAGUCAUCUUUGGCCCGUAGUGCAUAGAUGGACUGUUGAUUGGUAUGAUUAUGACCAGGGAUUAUUCGGUGUAAUCAUGACCUGUAAUGUUACAAAUGAUGUGGUAAAAGUCCUCAUUGGCCCGUAGUGCAUUGAUGGAUAGUUGUUUGGUAUGAUCAUGACCAUGGGUUCUCUUCGGCCAAGGGUGCAAAGAUGAAUUGUAGAUUGGCAUGAUCAUGACCACUGGUGAUAAUAAUGAAUAUCCUUGGCUCGUAGUGCAUGGAUAAUUCAGUGUUGUGGAUUAUUUAUUAAGCUGAGUCUCAGCGAUAAAAGUGAUGAUAAACUUUUAAAUCAUAGAAUAUAGUAGAUAUCAUGCUCUACUUGACUCUUCUAAUGGAUUGUUAUUUCCGCUGCAGUUGUUGAUCUAAAACUUGUUGUCUAUUAUAUUCUAUCAAUUGUUAUAUCGUUGAAGGCUAACAAUAAUUUAUUCUGCAUUAUCUUAGUCAUAAUAUUCUUUACUAGGCUAGUUGAACUCACCCUUUUCUUUCAUUGUUCUAUUCAGGAAAUGUGAAUAUAGUUGGGACUAGUCAUGGAAUGGAGUGACGGUCCGAGAUGGUUGCCAUAGUAGUCCUCACUAUUCUAUGAAAUAGUGUGAUACUUAAUUGUAAUGAGGAUUUAAGUUGAGUUUAGAUAUUGUCUACGAGACAAUAUUCGUGUCCAAACUCAGCUAUUGUGAUGUCGUAUUUUACACGACAGUUGUAUAAAUUAAGUUUGUAUUUAAGUUAUGUAUCAUGUAUUUGGCGACUCAAAAUUAUUUGUGUAUACCAAUUUUGGGGGCGUCACAAACGUUGCUUCACCCACCUCGUCCCAAUAUAUUGGAGAAUGACACUUUUGUCCAUACAACACCUCGAAUGGAGCCAUGCCUAUACUUGAUUGAUAACUGUUGUUGUAGGAGAAUUCAACUACUGGAAAGUACUUGUCCCAACUUCUUUUGAAGUCUAGGACACAAAGUCUUAAUAAAUCUUCAAGAGUUUAAAUAGUCCUCUCUGACUGCCUGUCCGUAUGCGGAUGAUAUGUAGAAUUGAAUCGUAAAUCCGUGCCCAUAGCUUUCUGCAAACUGACCCAAAAUCGUGAAUUAAAUCUUGGGUCUCGAUAAAAAACUAUGGAUACUGGCAUACCAUGCAGUCUUACAAUUUCAUUUAUGUAUAUACGAGCAAGACAUUCAAGUGAAUAAGUUUCACGUAUAGGUAAAAAUGAACAAAUUUGGUUAAUCUAUUGACAAUGACCCAAAUUGCAUCUAUGCCUUGAGAAACCUUGGGAAGACCAGUAACGAAAUCCAUGUUAAUGUGAUCCCACUUCCAUUCUAGAAUUUCAAGUGGUUGCAAUGGACCUUUUGGUACUUGAUGCUCUGCCUUGACACGUUGAUAAGUUAAACACCUUGAGAUAAUCUCCGCGAUUUCUCUCUUCAUAUUGCUCCACCAAAAUAUAUGUCGAAGAUCACGAUACAUUUUGGUACUUCCAGGAUGGAUUGCAAAGGGUGUGUUGUGUGCCUCUAUCAUGAUUUUAUACUUUAAAUCAGAGUUGUUAGGAACACAAAGUUUGGAGUUGACUCAAAGUAUUCCUUCUAUGUCGAUUCUUGCUUCUGGAAUAACACCUUUUUACACUUUCUUCUUCAUACGCAUCAGCUACGGGUCUAUAGCUUGAGCAACUUUAAAUUUAUCGAUUAAAGUCGGUUCUACUCGUAUAUUUGACAUCAUCACCAGGGUCCCUGAAGUCUUUAACUCUAUCUCCCUUUGCAAGUCAUACAAAAUGGGCUUUUAUGUUGACAAUAUCAGACUCGUAACUGCAUAUGAUCUUCUGCUCAACGUGUCAGUUAUCACGUUCGCUUUUCUAGGAUGGUAUUGAAUGGUAUGAUCAUAAUCUUUCAACAGCUCAAGCCAACGUCGUUGCCACAUGUUUGGUUCCUUUUGGGUGAAAAAAAUAUUUGAGGCUUUUAUGAUCUAUAUAGAUCUCCACUUUCUCCCCAUACAGGUAAUGUCUCUAGAUCCUUAGAAUGAAAAUGACUGCUGCCAACUCUAGAUCAUGAGUAGGAUAAUUCCUCUCAUAUUCUUUGAGUUGUCGUGAGGUAUAUGCUAUGACUGUAAUACCCACGAAUUUUAAAUAAAUUAUAAUAUUGAGAAUAAAGAUUGUUUGAAUAUUUAUUUGAAUAUAAAUAUAUAUAGUGUUGACAUGAGUUGUGGUAAUUAAUUUAAUUGAAUAAACAUGUGAUAAUUAAGCAAUGUAGUAGAAGUGAUGAGAAGCUUAGUUUAAGCUUGUAAAGUUAUGCCUAGUGUGGCAAAGUGGUGAAAUGAGAAAGUACUAAUGAACUAAAUUAAUUAGUACUAGUAAUAAAUGAAUAAUUACAUAAUGUGAUUGACUAAUUCCUAUUAUCAUGAACAAUAGCAUGUAAGGAGAAAUCAUAUAUAAUAAGGUUUUUCCUUUAAUAUAAAAUGAGGGGUAACAUUGGAAUGUGAAUAAAUAUUAUAUAAAACUAUAUGAUAAAAGUAAGCUCAACUUAUGUAAUUUACUAAGUUGUGUGAAAGAGUCUUAUGUGACAUCAUGAUGUGCGUGGGAGUAAUUAAAUGUGUAUUUUAAACCUAUGAGGGAAAAUAACUUUGACUAAAUAAAUAAUUAAUAUUAAAUGAUUAUUUUAAUAAUUAUGUAGAAUUAGAAUAAUUAGUUUUAUGGAAAGUAAUAUUGGUACCCAACUAAAGUAUAUCCUAGUUUAAUGUAAAUAUUAUUUGAAAUAAACCAAUGUAAAUGGAUUAUAUAAUUCUGGGAGUAGGUGUAUAUGUAUUCUCAUUUGUGGACAAAUAUCAAAUAAACCUAAGUAUUCUAAGUAAUGGUUUUGAUAAAUGCUGAGUAUUAUAGUAAUGUCCCAAAAUGAGUGUUUUGUUCUUUUAUUCUUCACGUAAUAGGCCAUUGGCCUAGAAACUCAUUUCUAACUUCAGUGAUAGCAAAUAAUGAUGAAGGGAGUGGUAUGAAUAGUGCUCUUCCACCAAAUCCUUCAUACCCAUCAGCUUCUUAUAAAUGGAGCCCUUCUCAUUCAUAGGCUUUUUGCUAAAUUCUUUGUUAAACUUCAAGUUGUGUGUGUGGUUGGGUUGAGCAUAUACAAUCUGCAAAUUAAAGCUAGAGUAGCAAUUCGACUUCACAGAAAGUAAUAUCCAUUUAUAUGUUAUUAAAUUCAAGUUUUGCAAAGUUCUUAGAAAAAUGUUAAAAAUACUUGUUUUGAGUUAAAAAGUUUAUGGUUGAAGCAUGAUAAAAUAUGUUAAUUGAUGCUAGACCUUGUUAAUAUGGUUAAAUACAAAAUCAACGAAAGUUAAACGAAGUAAUUUGGUCGAGUAACGAAUCUGUAGUGAAGAGAAUCGCUAAAUGUGUUAAACUUUGGAAAAAUGACACAAAUCUUGAAUUGAUUCUUGAAUUUUAUUGUUUAUGUGAUUGGAAUCAUUAGAAGCAUGCUAGGGAUGUUUAGUAGUAAGUUUAUAUCAAUUGAGUAUCAUUACAUUGCUGUUUGGUUGAGAUGUUGGCAUGUUAGCUCGUAGCAGGGGAGUGCCAUUAUUCUAAUUGUAGUAGCCAUGCCUGCCCCGGUGGUGGUCUUGCAGUAGCUAGUGUGACGCUCCCAAAUCAGGGUAUCUUCCAACCCGACAUAUGGUGCUACACGAUACUACCAUUCACACAUAUAUUCAAUUGAAAAGUCUCAAAUGAACGAAUAUGUCUUCUGUAUAUACAAAAUAAUAUUAACAUUCCCUCAGAAUCUUUAUAACCAUUACAUUGUUCUUGUCAUAAUAUCAAAUAUAGUACAAUCAUUCACCCUAUACUAUUACAUAAGUAUACUACGGGUUCGUCUUUGCCUUGCCUUUAUCCUUUAUCCUUGUGUUCAUAUGGUUCAAGCAAGAGUGAGCAUGACUAGCUCUGCAAGUACAACAAUUCUAAUAAACAACAUGCUUGAAACAUAGUAAUCAUAUAUCUUCAAUAACUGAACAAUAGUUACGAAGUACUAUCGAUAAUUCAAAAUAGCACUUCUUUUCAUUCAAAACGUUUUACAACAAUAAUAUUCAGUAAAACAUCAAUUCUGGUCCGAGACCUUGAGCAUUUCAUAAGUUCUUUUGAAAAGGACAUCCUGACACUAAGUUCGUAAGUCUGACAUUACUUACGAGCACGUCUAGGUGAUCAGCCUAUAGUACUCUAUGUUGAUCAACACUACAUUCCUUAAACGUGUAUACGUUUAAGUUGUGGCAACCUCACGUGCCUGUCGUUAGACGACAAAACAUUUUAGCAUACUCAGUCUUCAUUUGAAAACCACACCAAUAUAACUUAGUAAACAUUGACCAUGCUUGAUAGAAACAUAAUAUAAGUCUAGCCGAAAGAAUUGGCUUGGACUUCAUCAUACAAGACUUCAUGCGUAAGGAUACAUGAAUUAUAAAGCUUGUCCAGACUGAACUAGAACAAGGGUAAGAAUACUUGCCUUUAGCGUCUGCUAUUGUUAUAACAUGUUCUUUUUUAAGUCUUUAAGUUUCUACAGUAAUUGAUAACAUCACAUAAAACAUUAGGUCAUGAAUGAACACACAGGGUUCCUAAUGUAUCUUACCUUUCUUCUCAAUCUAAUUAUGACUUAGAUUUGUUCUUAUUUGUUCUAGCUUUCCAUUCUGUUGUUCUUACAUUGUCAUUACCUUCAUAUUCAAUUGAUUAUCAACCUUUAAUCAUCAUACAUUAAGCAUCUAACAAUGCCUUAACAAUGUUAUAAUUAAGCUUUAGUUCAUUACCAAUGAGUUACCAUUCAUGCUAUACUUGCAAACUACCUUCUCUGUCCAAACCCUAGGGUUGGCGUUGCGCCGCCACCCUUCCUUCUUUAACCUGCGCUGCGGCGCCACUCUGUAGUGGGUAAAGACCGGACUCGGCGCUGCGGCGCGAGUCUCAACAUUAUAUGUCACGCUGCGGCGUGACCUUGCAGUAGGUCGUGAUACUGAACCCGGUGCUGCAGCGCCACCCUUUGCCCUUGGUUUGGCGCCGCGGCGCCAACUCUGUGCCUCAGAAAAAUUUGACAGACUUUUAAUUUUGCCAAAUUCCCGGACGCAUAACUUCUUCAUUAUAAGUCCGAAUUAGCUCGUUCAAGAUCCUACGGUUCACAAAUUACAUACUCUACGCGUUCAUGCAAGAAUUUUAUCUAUUUGACUUCGUUUGCUAAAAUUUCACCUAUUAGUUCAUUUUUAACAAAAAUGAUAAACGUUCAUGAACGUUCAACGCUCGUUUCUUCAUUCUAAAUCCUGUCAUUUUUGAGUCCGCAACUCUAUAAUGCCAAAUAUGACUUGUCUUAAUCGAAAACCAACGUUUCCGAGUUCAAACACAAAAUACGACUUCCAUUUUGAGAAUUUCACGAAUUCGACGAUUAUCGUCCAAUCGUGUGAAUUCCGGCGAACUUCAUUACUAAUGAUAUGAUCAUUGUUCUAAAUGGAUUCUAACCAUCAUAUGAACAUUUUAAGCUACUUAUUACACCAACUUAUUUUCAAGUUAGGUUUUGACUUAUUUUUCAUAAGUUCAUGACUUAACAACUUAUAAACUACAAUUUUCAUUUCUUAUGACUUAUUAUUGAUUUAAGUCCUUUAUCAAUGUUCUCACAUCUUAUCAAACAUACAAACUUCAUAUGACAAUCAUAUGAUAAGUUCAUCAUAAGUUUAUAACUUAUUAAGGUUCAAGUUACUUAUUCAUAACUUAUUCGGCUUAAGUCCAUUACUUAAUUACUUCCUACAUGUUCUUAACAUAUAUGCUUAUUAGACUAUACUUCUCUAUCAAGCUAUCAUGGUAGAGAUAAAAGAAUAUAGGACAAGAGCCUUACCCAUGAAGAACUAGUACUUCUCUUCCUUGAAGGUCUAACAAUUGUUGUUUGACUUAUAUGUGCUUAUUCUCUCUAACCAAUAAGUUACUUUGUAUUGGAAGUUGUUGGAUGAAAUUAAUCUAGAAACAAAUGAAAAUCUUAGCCUUCUAUUUAUAGGAAAACCAAAGUGAGGGCAUAACAGUCAUUAGGACAUCCCACCUCCUUUAAUCACCUCCUUAAUACACCCUCCUUACUAUUCAUCUACUUAACCACUAAGUAAACUUGCUAGCCACUCAUCUUUCUUGCUCAUCACAUAACAUAUCCUAUGCUUGGCCAUCACAUAAAGGUCUUGGUCACCAAGUCUAACCCACAUUCCCCUUGGUUUGCUCCAUGGAUCAUGAUUAACCCAUUGGAUCAUCACAUUGGGCUCACUUUAAUUAACUUAGAUUAUUCAUUUUGUGUUUGCAUUACUUUAGUUUGGACUUUUGAUUAACAAACAAUUGGGCUUGCACAUCAAUUCCUAUUGGACUUAUACAUCCUACAUAUUCCAUACAUUCAUUCACAAGUGGCUUAAAGCCUUAUUACAUAUACUAUACGUAUAAUUCUCGUAUUCUAACUCAUAUAUUAAUUCAUAAUAUAUGUUAUUAUAUUCUCCAUUCCUACUUGUAUAAUACUUCGUAUUAUACUUGUAUUCAAUACCUCGUACAAUACUUACGCAUCAUAAGAUUAUUAUAAGUUCUUCUUAACGCUUAAUAUUCCUAACGUUCUCUAAUUAAGUCCGCAUGCGAAAUAUUACGUUUUCCAUACUUAGAUUAUUAUUUCAUAAUCCAUCUCACCUUGAUAUUAUAACGUUAUGUAUUUCUCAGAAAUUCAAAAAUAAUUCCCGAGCGGAAAUUGAUGAAUAGUGUUUUUCAGAAAAUUUCUCGGAAAGCUUUUAUUUUCGUCUUGGAAAUUCAAACAUUUUAUUUCUCUCACGUAGUUAAAAUACUACGGUGUUCCGACGUUUCUAAGUUAUAGAACGACAUUCAUCUUAUCAACAUAUAAUAAUAAUAAAUAAUAUUAUUUUAUUUAUUAUUAAAAGUAUUUACAAAAGGUUCCAUUUUCUGGGGCGUUACACUCUCUCCCCCUUAUAAGGAUUCUAUCCCCAUAAUCUAGCUAUAAAAAAAAUAAUUACACAAACAAAUGAAUGUAACUCUUUUUCAUCUUUUCUUCCAAUUCCCACGUUGCUUCUUCUGCAUCGUUGUUCUUCCAUAUCACCUUCACGGAAGGUAUGACUUUAUUCCGCAGAACUUGUUCUUUUUUAUCGACAAUUUGAAUCGGUGUUUCCUCGUACGUUAAGUCCUUCUCGAUAUGAAUAGGCUCAUAUUCUAUCACGUGUUUAUAAUCUGGCUUAUAAGGACGUAACACAGAUACAUAAAACACAUUAUGUAUUCGCUCUAGGUCUGGAGGUAAUGCUAUUGUGUAAGCUACCUCACCCACCCGUUUUAACACUUCAAAAGGUCCUAUAAACCUCGGACUUAAUUUUCCCUUCUUUCCAAAGCGUAUCUUUCCUUUCCAGGGAGAUACCUUUAGAAAUACGUAAGAGCCUAACUCAAACUCCCUAUUUUCUUCUAUCUGUCUUGAGCUGCUAAGAGACGCAUUUAUAUCAUCUUGACAAUAUCCGCUAUUCGCUGUACCAAUUCUGACCCUAGCAUUCAGCAUUCUCCUGCUUCAUCCCAAUAUAAUGGUGUUCUGCAUUUCCUUCCAUACAAAGCUUCGUAAGGCGGCAUACCUAUGCUUGCAUGAUAACUAUUGUUAUACGCAAACUCUACUAAUGGUAGAUGAUCAUCCCAACUAUCCUUGAAAUCCAUGACGCAAGAUCUUAACAUAUCUUCUAACGUCUUAAUUCUUCUAUCGCUUUGUCCAUCAGUUUGUGGAUGACACGUCGUACUCAGCUUCAACUGCGUUCCCAAAUGCUCCUGUAGACUUCUCCAAUAGUUCGAUGUGAAUCGUGGAUCACGAUCUGACACAAUCGAUACUGGUGCUCCAUGUCUGGAAAUUAUUUCCUUAACAUAGAGUGUUGAUAACUGGUCUAAGUUAUACUUGACCCUAAUUGGCAAUAAGUGAGCCAACUUCGUCAAUUGAUCCACUAUUACCCAAAUCGCAUCAUACCCUUUCGUUGUAGUCAGAAGUCCGACCACAAAAUCCAUCAUGAUAUUCUCCCACUUCCACUCCAGAAUUUUCAAUGACUGUAACAAGCCACUUGGUCGUUGAUGUUCGACCUUAACUUUCUGACAAGUCAAGCACCUACUUACAUACUCAGCUAUCUCUCUCUUCAUGUUUGGCCACCAAAAACUCUAUCGAAGGUCUUGAUACAUCUUAGUACUACCAGGAUGAAUCGAAAACCUCGAACUAUGAGCCUGUUGUAACACCUGUUCCUUUAAUUUCGUCUCAUUCGGAACCCAAAUUCUUCCUUCAAAUCUUAAUAAUCCUUCAUUAUCAAGACUGUACUUAGUAUCUUUUUCAUUGGCUAGCCGCUCCUUUAUCCGGUCACACUCAUCAGAUUGUAUCUCCGUCGCAAACACUAUUGUUCCUGCUUCACUGGGCAACUUCACUUCUAAUUCCAUCCUAGCCAUCUCUGUUAUUAACUCAGUUUGAGCUGUUAAAUAAGAUAACUUUUCCCGACCCUUUCUACUUAAGGCGUCGGCAACUACAUUAGCUUUCCAGGGUGAUACAAGAUUUCACAGUCGUAAUCCUUUAUCAACUCCAGCCAUCUCCUCUGCCUCAUAUUCAACUCCUCCUGUGUGAAGAUAUAUUUUAGAAUCUUAUGGUCCAUGUAUAUCUCACAUUUUUCUCCAUAAAGAUAAUGUCUCCAUAUCUUUAGAGCAAAAACUACUGCGACUAGUUCCAGAUCAUGAGUAGGGUAAACUUUCUCAUAAUCCUUCAACUGCCUAGAUGCAUACGCAAUGACCUUGCUAUGCUGCAUGAGCACGCAACCAAGUCCUCUAUGCGAAGCAUCGCUAUAAACUACAAAAUUUCCUGUGUCAUCGGGCAAUGACAAAAUAGGCGCUUCACUCAACAUCUUCUUCAGUUAUUGAAAACUAUCCUCGCAUUUAUCUGUCCAUGCGUAUUUCACCAUCUUCCUUGUCAAGUUAGUCAACGGAGUAGCUAUCUUCGAAAAAUCCUGGAUGAAUCUUCGAUAGUAACCCGCUAACCCUAGGAAACUCCGCACCUCAGUCGGCAUUUUCGAUUAUUCCCAAUUCAUCACGGCUUCCACCUUCGCUAGAUCUACUGAAAUCCCCUCAUGAUUAAUGACAUGACCUAAAAAUUGUACCUUUUCUAACCAAAAUUCACACUUAGUGAACUUUGAAUACAACUUCUCCUUCCUUAGUAUCUCCAACACUAAUCUUAGGUGUUCAGCAUGAUCUUCUGGCGUCUUAGAAUAGACUAGAAUAUCAUCGAUAAACACCACGACGAACUUGUCCAAAUAUUGUUUGAACACUCUGUUCAUCAUAUCCAUAAAUGCAGCUGGUGCAUUAGUUAACCCAAAUGACAUUACCAGAAAAUUGUAAUGACCAUAACGAGUCCUAAAUGCUGUCUUUGGUACAUAUUCCUUCCUAACCUUCAACUGGUGAUACCCCGUUCUUAAAUCUAUUUUAGAAAAAUACGUAGCCCCUUUCAACUGAUCAAAGAGAUCAUCGAUCCUAGGCAAUGGGUAUUUAUUUGAUAAGUGGGUUUUAUACCUACUUAUUGGAUAUCAAUUCACGAGAACUAUGCCCAUCUCAAGUACAUUUUAGUGUGUUUUUAGUUGCAUUUUGUGUUAUUUUGCAUUGCAUAUACUGAGAACUCCUAUGGUGUGAAAGUACAGGAAAUUGGCAUAGCUCGACGAUAGUAGGUGGCAAUGAGGCUAAUGGAGGCAUAGCACUGAUGGACAAAAGAGCAAAAGUAGCAUAUCAAAUGAACAAGAGCAGCAUGACAAGGAAGCAGCAGCAAUAGAACUUGAAGAUUCAAAAUGCAUAAGCCGCGCGGCUACACAAGCUAAAAUACGCGCGCCCGAGCCAUCACCCGGACAGAGCUGAUUUUACACAUGCGCGCCCGCGCCAUGUUUACAAAGGGAUCGCGCGCGGCCGCACAUGUCAUUGACUGCAGUUGCUGACUUUAUUUAUUUUUGAAAUUUUAAGUGUUUGAGUUGAUAUAAACUAUUCUGGUUGGUACCAGACGCGAUUAUCUAUAGUUUUUACGAGUUUUUGAUAUUAUGAACUAGGGUUUUACACUUUGAACGAUUUCCAACGUGGAGCCAAGCAUAGACUUAGUAGUACAAAACCGCGCGCCAGCGCUACAUGUCUACAAGAGAAAACAAAUCCACUCGCGCGCCCGCGCCAAAUUCCCAUUGAUAAGCUACGCGGCUGCGCCCAAUAACAGUAGCAGAGUCGUGCCCCAAGCGCCUAAGCGCCCAAGCCGUUCAGCAACCAAGCGCUUAGGCGCCUAAAAACAAUAGCAAAAUCAUGCCCCAAGUGCCUAAGCGCCCCAACUUAGGCCAAAUCAAGCACCUAGGCGCUCUACAAGCCCAACAAAUUCUUUUUCCAACCACCUAGGCGGUCCAACCCAUGCAAUGUCAAGCGUCGAGGCGCCCAUAACUCCACCAAACCCAAAUCAGAUACAGAUACGCGCAAUAUCACAGUGUAGGAUUCAGAUACGCGUGGCCGCGCCUGGAAAUGCUUUAAAAAUCGUGUGCCCGCGCCGCAAGCAGUUCUGUACAGAAAAGGCACUCGCGCGCCCACGCCAUAUCUACAUUAAAGAGCCGCGCGACCGCGCUCAACACUAGAGGUUGAAAAAAAAGGGACAAAAGGGGUUUAACAGACGUGUCUUAACACUUCUCUUCUAUUAUUUGAAAUAACAAUAGAGAGUCGUGCCCCUUAUUCUCCACGUCACGCACCACUUCUCAUCUCCAAACGGUUACCAAUUACUCCAUUACCCACGAUUCUACCCACGAUCAAUAUCUGCAUUAUAAAACUUGGGUUUCUGACUGGGUUCUGCAAAAUUAGUUUGGGGGUAAUCAGUCAUCGGCUAUCACUCACUAUCAGGCAAGUAAUCUUCAUCUUCUCUGUCAAUUUCAAAUGGGCCUUAGGAGAGCACGCUCUAUCACUUCGUCAUCAUCAUCUUCCUCCAAUAACCAAGGUGAAGAUGUUGUGGAUCAUACAAAAUUUCUAAGUCUGGAAGCACAAAUGGAGUAUUACAGAAUCGUAGCCAAGACAUUUGUGAAGGAGCACAGUUUUAAACCUGAGAAGCAGGAUGGCCAACUGUGGGAUAUGAUUCGAGAAAGGGGAUGGGUUGGACUGACUACAAUCCCUAUGCCUGUUCCAAUGAGUAUCGUGCGUGAAUUCUAUAUUAACGCUAAAGACACAAUGAGUUUGUCUAUCUGUGGUUCAAGGAUUUCAAAUAGAUUACAGACCACCAGCAAUCAGAGAAAUUUUCAGGAUAGUUGACACACCACCGACUGGGUACAAUAAUUGGGUUGAGGCUGCCCGCUUUGAGACUUAUUUGGACGUAGUCAUUACUGAUUUGUGCAUUUUAGGCAUGAAGUAGAAUUGUACGACAGGAACAAAUCAGCCUAGAACUUUCCCAGCCUCAGCUUUGAAUCGGUAUGAUAAAGCGUGGAAUCUAUUUAUAUGUGCAAAGCUCGUUCCGUCAUCUCAUUAGCAUGAAAUCAUAACUGAGAGGGCUAUCAUUCUGUGGUAAAUAGUCACCGACAAGUACAAAUAUAUGGGCCACCUCAUCCAUCAAAAUAUGUUACGUUAUAUGCGGGGGAGCACUGUGGUGAGUAUUCCACACGCGUCUGUUGUCGCUAGCCUGUGUGCCCAUCAAGGCUGCCAAUUGGGAUAAUGAACAAAUGUUGAACCCGAGCCAAGAUAUCACUCAUGCUUCCAUCGCCAAAUUCGAGGAUUGGGGCUGGAAGUACACUGCACCCGAGAGGAAAAAAAGGCUUUAUCAUUCAACCCACAUUCUCAGUGCCUCCACCACAGCCCACUCAAGAAACUGAAGCGGGAACGUCGGCUCAAGCAACUGCUACGACUGUAGAUCGACAGCUCCGACGGUUGGAGCGUAAGGUCGAUGCUAUGUAUGAUAACUUUGCCGCAUUUGCUAUGGGGUUGACAAGAUCAUUGGCAGAGGCGUUUGCACAACAAGGGACGAUCCUUGAAUGGCCACAGUUUUGGACCGCCGUACCAUUUCUACCACCGGAUUCACCACCCCGAAGAGGGUGGUACAACUGAGCAGUAGGGGAGUUUUCUUUAACCCUUUACCUUCAUUCAUUGAGACAAUGAACAUUUUAAGUUUGGGGGUAUUGGGUAGUAGGGUAGUUGCAUAUAGAGUUUGCAUAAGUAGUUUAAAUUUUGCAUGUUUAUUUGUUAGAUAGCAAUUGCAAAAAAAAAAUUGGUUUUUAUUCAUUAUUACUUGUGUUAGUAUAUGUUUAGUUGCAUUUCAUGUGUAGUGCAUGUUUCACAAAUUCUGGCUUUAUAGAAAUUAUGUCUAGCCUAUAUUAAAAGUGAAUUUUGAAUGAUUGCUGAGUAUUUUUGAUAACAUGAGCUUAGAUAUAAUGUUUUACAUGAUGUAAUUCAUGAUGCUAUUUAGAUGCCUUUGGUUUGCACUGCCAUGUUCACAAUUGCUUGUAGGCAUAAGAAUUAUGUGUUGCAUUGCUUGAUAGAAAAUGUGGUUUUAAAAAGAGAAUUAUGUGGAAAAUGGAUUUAGAUUGUACAAAACAUUGAUAAUCAAACUUUGGGAACACAUGGGUAUGCUAUAUAUAUAUAUUAAAAAAAGUUAUCUUGAAACCUUCUUGAGCUAAAUGAUUGACUCUUUGGAAGGGGCGAGAUGGAGUGUAAAACGCACUCGCUGUAUAAAAAAAAUAAAAAAUAAAAAAAUAGCAAUAAACACCGCGAGAAAGAGCGAAAAUUGCCCUCGUGAGUAGAAAUAAAGCAAUUAAACCCAUUGUUGAACCUCGGUUUGUUUUGAUAUGUUGGAACAGUCUUUGUGCAUAAGUAUACAUGAAUCUUGAUUUAGACUGUAAUUUUCUGUUUUUAGCAGUUUAACAUGUGUAUUCUUGCUUUAUUCAAGUCUUGGUGAACACAAUACACACACACAACAUCUUUAUAUCAUAUAUGAAUUAUUUGAGUGUAUGACAUUAUGCCUACAGUUUGGUUUGAAUUUGUAUUCUCGAAUCUGGAUAAGUCGCUGAGGCAAUUUGGAUUGAAAUUUUGUUAUAGCUGGAAGAAUGUGAGAUUCGUUUGCAUCAUUAUAUAGUUGCAUAGCAUGUAUUUGCAUUUUCAGUGUUUAUGUAGUAUGCAGUGCUUGAGGGCAAGCAAUAGUUCAAGUUUGGGGGUAUUUGAUAAGUGGGUUUUAUACCUACUUAUUGGAUAUCAAUUCACGAGAACUAUGCCCAUCUCAAGUACAUUUUAAUGUGUUUUUAGUUGCAUUUUGUGUUAUUUUGCAUUGCAUAUACUGAGAACUCCUAUGGUGUAAAAGUGAAGGAAAUUGGCAUAACUCGGCGAUGGUAGGCGGCAAUGAGGCUAAUGGAGGCAUAACACUGAUGGACAAAGGAGCAAAAGUAUAAUGUCAAAUGAACAAGAGCAGCAUGACAUGGAAGCAGCAGCAGUAGAACUUGAGGAUUCAAAAUGUAGAAGCCGCGCGGCUACACAAGCAGAACUUGAGGAUUCAAAAUGUAGAAGUCGUGCGACUACACAAGCUAAAAUACGCGCGCCCACGCCAUCACCCCGACAGAGCUGAUUUUACACACGCGCGCUCGCGCUAUGUUUAAAAAGGGAUCGCGCGCGUCAUUGACUACAGUUGCUGACUUUAUUUUAUUUUUGAAAUUUGAAGUGUUUGAGUUGAUAUAAACUAUUCUAGUUGGUACUAGACGUGAUCAUCUUUAGUUUUUAUAAGUUUUUGAUAUUACGAACUAGGGUUUUACGCUUUGAACGAAUUCCAACGUGGAGCCAAACAUAAAAUUAAUAUUUUUGUAUUUCUUCUUUGGAAUUCAAUAAUUGUCUACGAACUAUUUUUAUGUUGCUGGAAUUUAUUGAGGAUUUGAACAUCACUUUUGGAUUAUAAUCAGCAAUUGGGUUUGAUCAAUUCUAACUUUUCUCACAAUUGUUUUCAUUUAUUUUCCAUGUGUUACUCUAAUCCCAUAAUGGCUUUUGGUUCAGUCAUGAACUAAACUCCAUUAUGGGAUUCUAACGGAGUUUGAUAUGUAGUCUAAUUGAUGGCUUGAUUGUUGGACUGUUUGUGUAUCAUCAUGAAUUUCUAUUAUGGUUGAUUUGAAUGCAUGAAUGAUUGAUCACCAUUCAUUUUAUGUGCUUGUAUGGAGUUGAAAAAUAACAUGCGAGUAUGGUUGUAAUCAUGAUAGCAUGCAUGCAUGGGGCUGAUUUGCUUAGCUUUAUAUUUUGUGAACCAGAUAGAAAUAUACUGUUUCACCGUGUGGGUUAUAUAAAGGCUUGUGCUUAAAUUCAAUAUGGCUGCAAUUUCAUAUAGAAAUAUAGUAAGGUUGGUUUUAUUGAUGAUUACAUGAUGUCUAUUGUAUGUGAAUGUUAUGUAAGUUGGUCAUAAUACAUUGAAAAAUGGUUAUGUCUAUAUUCGUGCUCUUGGCUAAUUUUCUAUGAUACGUGAGUAAUCUUUCAUGAUGGUGGUGAUUAGAUGAAAUAUUAAAUGAAGUUAGGAUCCCAUUAUUUCCAGAUUUGAAUUAUUACAUUAAUAUUCUUUUUUUAUUUGUUAUUUGAGUUUUGAGUAAUUUAUAAUCAUAAGCGUACGUUUAAGCAUAUAAGAAUAGUAACAUAGUUGAUGCAUAACAGUUUAAUUUAGAAACCUUUCUUCAUGGAUCGAUACUUUACUUACUCUGUAUUACUUGUUGACCCAUGUAUGCUUGCAUGAGUUAGAGUCCUUUUAUUAGAAGUAAAAAGGAAGCAACAUUAUUCUUUAUUGUUAACUUGUUCAACUCUCGAUAGUCGAUACAAAGUCUUAACAAUCUGUCCUUCUUCUUGACAAACAGUACAGGUGCUCCCCAGGACGAAACACUCGGUUGAAUGUACUUCCUAUCCAACAGUUCUUGUAACUGCACCAUAAACUCCUUCAUCUCCACUGGCGUCAUACGAUACGGUGCCUUAAAAAACUGGUGCCGCUCCUGGCACGAUGUCUAUUACAAACUCUGUCUUUCUAUCAGGCGGAAGACCCGAUAAUUCACUCAGAAAUACAUCGGUGAAUUCUCUCACUAUAGGUAUUUGUUCCAUGGUUGCUACCACUCUCUGGGUAUCAACAACAUGACACAGAUAACCUACACAUCCCUUCCUCAAUAAUUUCCUAGUCUGUGUCAUGAUUAAACAACACGAACGUCCCGGUGAUCUAUUCUCGUAAAAUACUACUUGUGGUUGUUUUAACGUUCUAAGGUUCACAAAUUUCUUCUGACAAUCUAUAAUUGCCCCAUGGUUAACUAACCAAUCCAUUCCGAGAAUUACGUCGAAUUCUCCUAACUUUAUCGGUAUCAAAUCUACCAAUAAUUUACAACCUCGUAUAUCUACGCAUCAACUCCUAUGAACAUCUUCAAUAGGAACUAUUUCUUUAUUUGCUACCUUAAUAUUUAAAGGUAUAGGCAACUUUUCGGGAAGUAUUCCUAAUCGUCUAGCAAAAUCACAUGCUAUAAACGAACAAGUAGUACCCGAAUCAAAUAACACGUAAGCAUUUAUGUCGUUGAUCAAAAUAAUACAUGCAACGACGUCCCCUGAUGCAACUGCAUCUGGAACUGUCAUAUUAAAGGUACGGCCCAUCGGCCUAUCCAGCUGUGCUGAACCACUAAUAGCUAACUUACCACCAUUAGUGCCCCAGUUCCCGUCCGUCCCCUUCUUCGGGCAGUUCUUUGACAUGUGGUCAGUUGACCCACACACAAAGCAUCCAUGAUUCUUUUUCAGACUUGGACAGUUAAGCGAGAUAUGCCCUUCCUUUCCACAAUUGUAGCAUACGGCCUUCCCCUUUAGACAGACUACUAAAUGAGUCUUCCCACAGGUCUUGCAGGCCUCCAUCCUCCUCUUUGGGUCUCCUUGCUUCACUCCGAUAUUCCCAGAGCUUAACGCCUUCCUCUUCUAUCCCUUGCCACUACCGCUGGCUCCUUUGACCUUUACUCCCUCAUCCACUUUCCCCUUGCUCUUCUUAUCCUUGUGGUAUUGACUUAGAGCCUCACUACCACCCUCGGCGAUUAUCACCUUCUCUAAAAUGGUUCCAAAUGAAGUACUUUGGAACACCGAAAUACGGGUUAUAGAGCCAGGGUUUUAAGCCCUACUCGAACCAUCGCGCCUUCCUAACCUCGGUAUCCACUUGGUGUGGAGAGAACCUCGCCAGUUCAUUAUACUUGGCGGCUUAUUGGGGAACCGUCAUGUCCCCUUGUUUCAGCUCAAGAAACCGCAUCUCCAUCCUUCCCUGCAUGCCCGUGGGAAAGUAGUUCUUGAAGAAUAUCUCCUUGAACCUCUCCCACGUCAGAUUCUCUAUCCCAACCCUAGCCUGAUUGGCUUCCCACCAAAAGUUGGCCUCUCCCUUCAUCAUAUAGGUUGCAAAGGCAACCUUUUGGGCCUCGUCAACAUUUUCUAUCACAAAUGCCUUCUCUAUUUCUUUCACCCGUGUUUGGGCUUCGAUAGGGUCCGUAGUUCCUUUGAACUCCGGUGGACCCACGCUCUUAAAAUCCUUAAAGGUAGUAGCUCGUGCUACUCCUGGAUUUACGGGGAUAUUCGCCCCUGUUCUAUUAAAUGUAGCUGUUAAAAGGUUAACAAACUCCUGCAUAGGGUUAACCGGACCUCCCUCCGGUUGAUUUACAUUAGGUCCUUGAUUACGUUGUACCCUUCUUGGCCACAUUUUGUUGAUACAAUAAACAACACAUUUCAUUAUUAUUCCUUUCUUUAUUAGUUAUUAUUCGAUAUUAAACAAUAACUUCAACAUCCAUUGCUCAUUAUUUUCCAUAAUACUACAUCGGUUAAAUUACACAGCCUAAGCUUAUUACAUUACUUUCUCGCUAUUACUUUCCAAGAAUUGGGAUUUACAAAAGACUACCCUUUGCUAUACAAUAGAGGGUUUUACGUCACUACUAAGUAUAAAAUAUUUACAUAUCUAAACUACUCUAGCUACUACUAGAUCACAUCUGCCUCAAGGCAUUAUCGAAAUCUAGCUUAGCAAGACCGGAAAUGAUAUCAUGGCUGAUAGUAUGCCUCGUCUACCCCACCUCUACAGGAUAACCAGCUACCUGCUGCUGGAAAUCUGUAUGAGAACUCCUACGAAUAUAGGACAUUCUCCCUAUCUUCUGCAUUUUGGUCUUUAGCUCCUCCUUGAGCUCAAAAACCUCAUGAUUCAACUCAUGGACUUUGUCCUUAGCCAAAAUCCUCACGUCGUGUUCCAGUUCCCACAUGGACUCCACGCUUGUCUUAUCUUCUAUAACCACCUACAGCUCUGCCUUCAGCUCCUUAACUUCCUAACAGUAAUGGAUAUUUCUAUCCAAUACUGACAUGAAUAAUGACAUCAUUGACUCCCAAGGAGCCAUCUCCGCUGCUAUAGCUACCGGGUCAAAGGACACUACCUCCACCUCCUCGUCUAUCAUACCAUCGAAUACUGACAUGAAGUUAGGAUCCUCUGAGUCUCCAGACUCAAUGACAACUAUCUCAAGCUCUGCUGCUAUGGGGUUCGGUAUAACCUCUAUUUGCUUCACCUACUCUUCACUAACUGCCUGUAAAUCUAACUGCAUUCCAUUUACUCCUGACAUCUACAAAAUACAAUUAUGUUGAUUAAUACACGUCAGUAGAAUAAUAAAAACACAUAACAUAAUCAUAAUGCAUUUUUAUAAGGUUAUUUUCUUCUUUUACUUCUUUGACUUCUCUUAAGGUUAUGACUUAAUGUUUUUAAUCCCCCCUUAAGUUUUAUAACCUAAUGCUUUGAUACCAACCUGUGACGCCUCCAAUUCCGGGUAUCUUCGAACCCGAGAGAUGGUGCUACAUGGUACUACCAUUCUCACAUAUAUUCAAUUGAAAAGUCUUAAAGGAACGAAUAUGUCUUCUAUAUAUACAAAAUAAUAUUUACAUUCCCCCACGUUCUUUAUAACCAUUACAAUGUUCUUGUCAUAAUAUCAAAUAUAUUACAAUCAUUCACCCUAUAAUAUUACAUAAGUAUACUACGGUUUCGUCUUCGCCUUGCCUUUAUCCUUGUCGAACCCUUCGGUUUGUUCUAUCUUAGCUGUGUUCAUAUGGUUCAAGCAAGAGUGAGCAUGACUAUCUCAGCAAGUACAACAAUUCUAAUAAACAACAUACUUGAAACAUAAGAAUCAUAUAUCUUCAAUAACUGAACAAUAGUUACGAAGUACUAUCGAUAAUUCAAAAUAGCACUUCUUUUCAUUCAAAACGUUUUACAACAACAAUAUUCAGGUAAAACAUCAAUUCCGGUCCAAGACCUUGAGCAUUUCAUAAGUUCUUUGAAAAGGACAUCCCGGCACUAAGUCCAUAAGUCCGACAUUACUUACGAGCACGUCUAGGUGAUCAACCUAUAGUACUCUAUCAACACUACAUUCCUUAAACGUGUAUACGUUUAAGUUAUGGAAAACUCACGUACCUUUCGAUAGACGACAAAACAUUUUAGCAUACUCAGUCUUCGUUUGAAAACCACACCAAUAUAACUUAGUAAACAUUGACCAUGCUUGAUAGAAACAUAAUAUAAGUCUAGCCGAAAGAAUUGGCUUUGACUGCAUCAUACCAGACUUCAUGCGUAAGGAUACAUGAAUUACAAAGCUUGUCCAGACUGAACUGGAACAAGGGUUAGAAUACAUGCCUUUAGCGUCUGCUAUUGUUACAACACAUUCUUGUUUAAGUCUUUAAGUUUCUACAGUAAUUGAUAACAUCACAUAACACAUUAGGUCAUGAAUGAACUUACAGGGUUCCUAAUGUAUCUUACCCUUCUUCUCAAUCUAAUUAUGACUUAGAUUUGUUCUUAUUUGUUCUGGCUUUCCAUUCUAUUGUUCUUACAUUGUCAUUACGUUCAUAUUUAAUUGAUUAUCGACCUUUAAUAAUCAUACAUUAAGCAUCUAAAAAUGCCUUAACAAUGUUAUAAUUAAGCUUUAGUUCAUUACAAAUGAGUUACCAUUCAUGCUAUACUUGUAAACUACCUUCUCUGUCCAAACCCUAGGGUUGGCGCUGUAGCGCCACCCUUCCUUCUCUAAGCCGCGUUGCGGCGCCACUUUAUAGUGGGUAAAGAUCGAACUAGGCGCUGCGGCACGAGUCUCAACGUUAUAUGCCGUGCUGCGGCGUGACUCUGCAGUAGGUCGUGACAAUGUGCCCGGCGCUGCAGCGCCACCCUUUGGCCUUGGGUUGGCGCCGCGACGCCAACUCUGUGCCUCAGAUAAAUUUGACAAACUUUUAAUUUUGUGAAACUCCCGGACACAUAACUUCUUCGUUAUAAGUCUGAAUUGGCUCGUUUAAGAGCCUACGGUUCACAAAUUACAUACUCUACGCGUUCAUGCAAGAAUUUUAUUUAUUUGACUUCGUUUGCUAAAAUUUCACCUAUUAGUUCAUUUUAACGAAAAUGAUAAACGUUCGUGAAUGUUCGACGCUCGUUUCUUCGUUCUAAGUUGGUAUCUAGUCAUUUUUGAGUCUGCAACUCUAUAAUGCCAAAUAUGACUUGUCUCCAUCGAAAACCAACGUUUUCGAGUUCAAACACACAAUACGACUUCCAUUCCGAGAAUUUCACGAAUUCGACGAUUAUCGUCCAAUCGUGUGAAUUCCGACGAACUUCAUUACUAAUGAUAUGAUCAUUGUUCUAAAUGGAUUCUAACCAUCAUGUGAACAUUUUAAGCUACUUAUUUUCAAGUUAGGUUUUGACUUAUUUUUCAUAAGUUCAUGACUUAACAACUUAUAACCUACAAUUUUCAUUUCUUAUGACUUAUGAUUGAUUUAAGUCCUUUGUCAAUGUUCUCACAUCUAAUCAAAGAUACAAACUUCAUAUGACAAGUUCAUCAUAAGUUCAUAACUUAUUUAGGUUCAAGUUACUUAUUCAUAACUUAUUCGGCUUAAGUCCACUACUUAAUUACUUCCUACAUGUUAUUAACAUAUAUGCUUAUUAGACUAUACUUCUCUAUCAAGCUAUCAUAGUAGAGAUAGAAGAAUAUAGGACAAGAGCCUUACCCUUGAAGAAUUAGUACUUUUCUUCCUUGAAGAUCUAACAAUUGUUGUUUGACUUAUAUGUGUUUAUUCUCUCUAACCAAUAAGUUACUUUGUAUUGGAAGUUGUUGGAUGAAAUUAAUCAAGCAACAAAUGAAAAUCUUAGCCUUCUAUUUAUAGGAAAACCAAAGUGAGGGUAUAAGAGUCAUUAGGACAUCCCACCUCCUUUAAUCACCUCCUUAACACACCUCCUUACUAUUCAUCAACUUAACCACUAAGUAAACUUGUUUGCCACUCAUCUUUCUUGCUCAACACAUAACAUAUCCUAUGCUUGGCCAUCACAUAAAGGUCUUGGUCACCGAUUCUAACCCACAUUCACCUUGGUUUGCUCCAUGGAUCAUGUCUAACCCAUUGGAUCAUCACAUUGGGCUUACUUUAAUUAACUUAGCUUAUUCAUUUUGGGCUUGCAUUACUUUAGUUUGGAAUUUUGAUUAACAAACAAUUGGUCUUGCAAAUCAAUUCCUACUGGACUUAUACAUCCUACAUAUUCUAUACAUUCAUUCACAAGUGGCUUAAAGCCUUAUUACAUAUAAUAUACAUAUAAUUCUCGUAUUCUAACUAGUAUAUUAAUUCGUAAUAUAUGUUAUUCUAUUCUCCAUUCAUACUCGUAUAAUACUUCGUAUUAUACUUGUAUCAAUACCUCAUACAAUACUUACGCAUCAUAAGAUCAUUAUAAUUUCUUCUUAACACUUAAUAUUCCUAACGUUCUCUAAUUAAGCCCGCAUGCGAAAUAUUAAGUUUUCCAUACUUAGAUUAUUAUUACAUAAUCCAUCUCACCUUGAUAUUAUAACGUUACGUAUUUCUCAAAAGUUCAAAAAUAAUUCUCAAGCGAAAAUUGAUGAAUAUUAUUUUUCGGAAAAUUUCUCAGAAAGCUUUUAUGUUUGUCUUGGAAAUUCAAACACUUUAUUUCUCUCACGUAGUUAAAAUAUUACGACGUUUCAACGUUUCUAGGUUAUAGAACGACAUUCAUCUUAUCAACACAUAAUAAUAAUAAAUAAUAUUAUUUUAUUCAUUAUUAAAAUUAUUUACAAAAGGUUCNNNNNNNNNNNNNNNNNNNNNNNNNNNNNNNNNNNNNNNNNNNNNNNNNNNNNNNNNNNNNNNNNNNNNNNNNNNNNNNNNNNNNNNNNNNNNNNNNNNNGUUAAUAAACCUUACGCCUUUUUGAAAUCUACCCUUUUGAGCAUGUAUUCACAACUAAGUUAAUUUUAUAAAUACGUAUGAAACAUUACACCAAAAAUGGCUUUUAGUGAAGGACAAAUCCUUCACAAGACAUACUAUAUCACUCACAAGUGAUUUAUUGCGAAGAAAUAUUUCCUUCGCACGAGUGCUAGCAUUAGACCUCCUCGCAAUUAGGUAUCCUUCGCUAAGUAGUAACUAAAUAUUUUUUGUGAAGGAUAUAUUGUGAAUAACUUUUUUAUUCACAAAUUGUAUUUAAUAAUGGAAUAUUGCUAUUUAGUGAAAGAUUAGUUUCCUUCAAAAAUAAUAUUUUAAGAAGGACUAUUUGAAAUUAGUGAAUAACUUUAUUCCCUUACAAAUAAUAUAUUGUGAAGAACAAAUUUAUUUAACGAGAGAAAAUUUUCCUUCACUAAUUAUAAAUUGAAAAUGUAUCUUCAAAUUAGUGAGGGAAAUAAUCCUUCAUUGAUGACUAACUAAUUAACUAGAAAAGAUUUAGUGAGAAAAAUAACCCUUCAUUAAAAUCCACUUCUCAAGUAAAAUCCUUCACAAAUUAUAUAUUUGUAAAAAAAAAUAUUAAUUGAUAAAUAAUCAAAAUUCAUUGCAAAUUGUAAUUAAUUUUCAAAUCACUAAUUUCAUUUUUUUGCUAAAAUUAAACUGAAAUUAAAUAAAAGGAAAUAUACAUAAUUCAUGGGGCAUACCACAUACAGUGACCAUCAAAGGACAUGCCCUAUGAUGUCAACAGUAAAUCAAAUGCAAAGAAGCAGAAUCAGAUGGCUAUAGUAAAUGUGCUAAAAUAAAGCAUAAAGCCUAAAAGGAUAUCAACAUACUAAUACAAUGUAAACCAAAUUUAAAAAGCUAGCCAAACCCAUAAAGACAGACCUAACCAAAUUUAAAAACCUAGCAGACCAACAACAAUAGCAACAGCAUUAGCGCUCAACCCAAUUAAGCUUUCCUAGCUAGCAGCAGCAAACAUUACAGUAGUUAAACAGCAGCAACCUAAUUAGCCACUCAUAGCAUAACCCAUACAUAGCAGCAGCAGUAUCAGAAGGGCCCAACAUCAUAGCAGUAGAAGCAGUUAAACAGCAUCAUCUGCGUUAGCUAGGCUCCAGCAGCCAAACCAACUAUGCAGUUCAGUAGCAGAGGCACUCAAAUCUGGAAAUCAGACCAUUGCAGCAGCAAGAACUCAGUUUUAUGGCCAGCAGCUGCAACAACAUCCCUUCGCCACAGCAGCCCAGAACUAGCAACCCAAACCAUAUGCAGACUAAAGCAAAUUUGCACCUGUAGGUGAAAUAAAAAGUCAUCACCAAGCAUAUGCAGUAGUAGAAACUACAGUAGCAUGCACUUUGCUGCAACACGAGAUUCACAACAUAAAAAAAAAAAUUGGGAGUAAAACAUUAGCAUGACAGACUGCACCAAUAACCAAAUUAUAUACUAAAGUUAUAUAAUGAGGAUUUUUCAAAAACAAAAGCUGAUACAUGUGAUUUAAGCAGAAAUUAACUAAUAUUGAACAUCUAAGAAGAGAUACAGGAAGUAACCAUGAUGGUGCGAAAGAUAUUUAAGCAUGCAUAUAUAAUGGAUAGAUAAUAAAUCCAAUUGAGAUAGCUGAAUUAUAUUUACAACAUAUUGAACAAUUCUUUCCCAAAAACAUAUAGAUAAAGAAAUAUUUUCCUACCAAGUGUUAAGUAUUGUAAUUUGGUUUGCAAGUAGAGACCUAUAUAGGAUACAUGAGAAAUAAACAAGGAUACCAUUAAUUAAAAGACACCAUGUAGAAGGCAAAAAGUUAUAAAGAUUUUCCUUUACAAACUUGAAAAUUUUGAAAUCUAAAAAUUAAUCACAUCAUUGACCAUAUCUUCUGAGGCAAAACCACAGGACAAGUACUGUAGUUUUGCCAUCCCUAUGUCAUUAUUUUCUUAACGCAUUGCACAUCCUCCCUCAUGCUAGCAGGAGCCUAUCAUGCUAGUAGGUUUUGAGACUACCUGUAGUAGUAUAGACGCACACCAAAAGAAAAGAAAAGAAAUAUUGGACCCAAAUACAUUAGAAAGGAAUGCUUUCGAUCUAGAUGAAAAAAAUUUAAAUCUUUCUAAUUGGGUGGGUGGUUAAUUCUACAAAGUUAACCAAGUCAACUCACUUGUCCACACUUUACAUCAUCACGUUUUAAACCUCUCAGUAUAAUUAAGACCCACAUUAUCACAUGGAAAUUCAACUACUUAAAAUGUGGCUAGAAAUUAAGUUGUCAAUUACUUGUCCAUGAUCCAAGAUUUUCUUAAACAUCUCAACACCAGUCACUGUAGUCUUCAGUGCUACACAUUGUGAAGUGCAAUAACGAAAUCAGGUUGCAAAAUUUAGAAAGAAAAAACAUGUUUCAUAUUAAUGUGUUAAAUAUACCUGCCUCAACCCCAAAACUUCAACCUCCUCAUCAGUUUUGAUGGUACCCUUCUCAAUACGCCUAGUGACAACAGUCCCACAUCCCUUUUCCACAUAAAAGNNNNNNNNNNNNNNNNNNNNNNNNNNNNNNNNNNNNNNNNNNNNNNNNNNNNNNNNNNNNNNNNNNNNNNNNNNNNNNNNNNNNNNNNNNNNNNNNNNNNUCAAGUAAAAAUAUCCCAUCAUAUAUGGCAGAAAAAUUACAGACUGAUAUAUAACGAUUUUAUAGAUGCAUCAAAAAAAGAAUGUUAGAAUAACCUGAAAGUACAACAGAAAUAAGUUCAAAUAAUAUGGCUAAGUACCUAAAUUGAAAAGACAUCUUCUAUUGGCAUUAAGAAAGGCUUUUCAAGUUGGCGAACAGGUUCAUUUAUGUACUCAUCCACGGCUUUCAUUGGUUUUAAUAUUUCCUUUUUCCUGAGCUCUUCAUUUGUCCCCUUGUAAAGCAGAAAAAGUCGAACCUCGCACAAUUGGGAUUUCAUCCCCAUGAAAUUUGUAGAAGGUAAGCAACUCUACAACAAUCGUUUGUACAAUUAGACAUUCAUCUUAGUUUUACUAAAGCAAGUAGCACAUGUAUAUAAAUCUGAUAGACAGCAAACACUGCACACUCUAACCACUAUAAAUUAAGUCAAUAUACCAUGGAGCUCUAUGUCAACAAGCUCAAGUAGCUCUGGGUCAUCAACAUCAUCAACUUUAUUGAGAAAACACACCAAAGAUGGCACACCAACCUGAGUAAAAUCUGUAACAAGCUCAUUAUCUUAUUACCUAUACUUGCUAGCUUGUCCAUUAGUAGAAUAUGCAGUAACCGGCCAUAAAGUGUGCUUUCUAGGCUGUGGAUUGGUCUCUAUGAAGAAAAGAGGCUGCCUAGCCAGCUGAACCACACAUGAUGAACAAAGAAUAUAUCAAGAAAUAAUGACACAUAAGCAUAAGUAAUACGAAAAGUACAAGGAAUAAAACAACAUUAUAUAAUGUAAACAGUCAAACUCCCUGGUUUAUCAUCAGGACAGUCCACCUUCAAAGCCAUGAUAUUAGACCAUUGGAUUUCAAUUUUACUCUUCAGACCACCAUCAAGAACUUCCCAAAUAAGCUUAUGCUUAGCGAAAUAACACUUUGCAACUAAAUCACCUUCAUGCCUAGACACAUACUGCCACCAAAUACAAUUCAUUUACUUGAUAAAGAUCUGACACAAUUCACAUAUAGUAGGAUAAAGAAUAUAACUAUUACCUCCCAGCGUCCAAUCUUUAAAAGUGAAGAGUAUAACAAUUACUUGACAAAGAUCUGACACAAUUCCAGUAAUUCAUUCCAUGUUGUUCCUAAUUUUUUUUUAAAAAUAUUGAAACAAUAAUUAUUAUAAUCAGGGGGCCUCUCUUUAAUUCCUUGUAUCUAAUUUAGACCUCAUUUGUAGUUGAAUUCUUCAUUUACAGAUAGAUUCAUAGUAUUUAUAGUGUAUUCCAUACUCUUAUAACUAUAAAUUAAAAUGAUGUAAAAAAAUUAAUAAAACAAAACAAUAUAUACAUAAAGAGAGAGAGAGAGAGGAUGAGGAGGAGACACAUAUUCUUUGGUGGCUCAUUCUCUGAAAUUCUAUGUCUUACCAUUCAAAACCAAAAUCAUUAAAACCGCAUAUAAAUAAAUUAUAUUUAUGAAUGUGUACAUAAUCACAAUGAAACAAAACAGAAACUUACAAUUUUAGCAGACCAAAAUUAUAAGCCGUUAGCUUAGUCAGGAUCUAAACUCAAAACUGAUUAGAGUCCAAAAAUUGUCAGUUAGGUUAUCGGAAUAUAAAUUUGUGGUGACAUGAUAAAGUGUUAAAUGAGGCUGAAGAGACCUGAACAUACACGUCCAUUGUUGAAGGACAUGCCCUCUUUGUUGGAGCUAUAAAUAAUCUGUAAAACUAAAACAGAAGAAGAGGAUAUUACUUUCAUAGCUAUAUUCAAACACAAUUAAAAUGCAUGUGAACAAUAAAAUGCAAAUCCAUAUUGUCUUCAACUCCACAUUCAAGGACUAUUUAUUCCUAUGAAGAAAUAAGCAUACAAACUAAUUAUCUAUAGUUUAUUGUUCUAGAACCAAGAAAACAUUAAAUCAGAUAAGUUAAUUUACAGUUGAUAUACACAACCAAAAUAUGGGUCUAUAACUAAAUUAUACUACCUCCAUUCCACAAAAAUAGUCUAAUUUGUUAUUAAUAAAUAAAUAACUCUAUUUCUGAAACUCAGUUUAAAAAAAACAAAAUUCAAAAUUUAAAAAACUCAAAGUUAAAGAUUUCUGAAACUCCACCAUCGGUCACAGUUACUAUAUUAAAUUCAGUUAUAUAUAUAAUAGAUAUCAAAACAGGGUACUAGAAUCUCUUUAAUCUCAUCUCAAUUCCCACCUUAGUGUUACCUACAACUAAUUUUGCAUAUGGGUAUCUUGCUUUUAAGUCUAAAACAUGUCAAAGUCUUGAAGGUAUAUACAAUUUCAACCCAUCACAUCCGCUCCAAUUUGGCAUGGAAAUGAGUUUCCAAUUUGAAGAUCUCCUUGAGAAACAACUUUAUCAAGAGACUUCUGAUUAUUUAGAGGUUCUAUCUCUUUUACAGAAGAAAUCAUAAUUUAUAAGAAGAACCCCCAAAUACCCCUUUAAAUGUGUUCACUUACUUUCAUCACAUCACGUGCUCAACUAACAUCUACCUACUAAUUACUAUCACAUGAGACUCUUUGCCUUUUCUUUUCCUGACCAUCUAUAUGAAAUAAGUGUGUAAGAUCAUAGUCAUAAGUUGCCAAACAGAGUAAAUAAGUUGAAGUUAUCUUUCCAAACUCAAAUCCUAAUGUAGAUUGUAAACGCGAACCAAUUUUCUUUAAAGAAGAUGGUCAGUUUUUUUAAUAUGACUUAUUAUUUUGCCUACGCAAUACAAGUUAACAACAAAAAGUGAAAACUAACUCAAGAAAAACAUAAUAGAAAUAAGUUUAGAAAUAACUAGAAAUCAAACAUAAAGAUCUAGUAUACCAAACCCAAAUUUGUUCUAUGAUGUGAUCUAAUUAGAAACAUUGUAGAAUCAUAUAUAUACUACUUAAAUGAACAUUAGGAUUUCCUUCCCCUCCCUCCUAUAGUAUGACAGCACAGCAAAUCCUCUCAGGUGAAACUAGUGAAGCUAACCUCAUUUAUAGAUAGUAAAGCAAUAGAUUUUCUUAAGCUGCUAUGUUAAAAAGAUACAAAGAAUCAAUAAACAGUAAUUACACCAACUUGUUAAGCAGACAAGGCCAACAGAGGAAAAAGGUUCAUCUAAAGCAAACCCCACACAUUCGAAUACUUUCAAAUUUUAGAUUCAAGUUAUCCAACACCCAAAAAACAAAUCAACACAAACAAGAAACUAGACAAAAUCACAUACCAAAUUCGUUGAGCUUCUUGAACCAUUCUCAGAACCAUGCCUCUGAUUAGUCACAUUAGCUAACGUCGGCCUUUUCUUCGCCAUUUGAGGAAGCAAAGCUGUCGCCUUUCUGAGAUUCUCCGCUUGCCGUUUAGCCAAAGAAGAUGUCUGUGCAACCAUGGCUUGUGAUAUUUACAAGCACUUGAGAGCAUCUGAGGUCCAUCAGAGCGGAGUCCAAACAAUUCGAUGUUCAGAAAUCGAGUUCGCACGCCAUGUAGAAGUAGAACAGGGCUAGGGUUUGAGAAGUGGAGCUUUCUCCUCUCCACCUUCCAUUUCAACCCUCUGCAACAAAAGUUAUUUCUGAACGCAUUGUGUGACAGUCGGUCGGUGGAGAAUCGAAAGAUCUGAAGCAACGAGAUGAUUUAGGUAGAGAGGUAAAAGAUUUUGUGUGAAAAAUGGGAGGGAGGGAAUACCAGAUCGGGGGAAAAUUAGUGGAAAAGUAAGGAGGGAAUGAAAUUGAAAUAUAGGAAAUACAUAACAUGAAUUAAAAUUGAGGGAGCUAUAGAGACAGUCGACUCCUGACCGUCGGUAUAGAAGGGAAAAUAGGCCCUAUAGCGACAGUUCUGCCUCGACCGUCGCUAUAACUCGUAGCUAUAGGUUGAUUUUCUAGUAGUGUCAAAAGACACAGACAUUGAUAGACUAUCAGUCAAAUUCAAAAGAACACAAGAAGUUGCAAACAGUUUUAUGAGUAAAUUCAAGAUCAAGUGACAUUUAACCUCUAUUAAGCUUUUAUGAAAAUGACAAACAAAAUCUAGAAUCUACAUAUAGCCAGUAAAAUAUACAAAGUGAACUAGCAAUAAGUAAUAAUCUUUUGCCAGGAAAAUUCGCAUAUUAGGUUGAGGGGUCAAAUAUCCACUUUCAAAAAGAAAAUUAGAAUCUCAAAGAUAAGAUGUCAAUUUUUCGAAAUUUAAGAAAAAGGCAGAAUAUGAAGGAAUAAUCGGUGUAAAUAGAAAAUCAACAAUCCGUCCAACUUCUUUACUCUUAUGCUUUACUUUUUCCAUGAUCUCCUUUAAUUAACAAAUUGUUCUUUUAACUUUUCCUUCCACUAAACAAAAUUAUGGUAUCUGUACCCCCCCCCCCUAAACAAAGAAAUCUUCUAUACAUUAAACCUAAGAAUUCACUUGUCUUAUAAUUUAUUUACACUUUUACAAUACCACAAGUAGCACUUUCCUCUGCCAUUAGCAUUAUCAACUUCAACAACAUUAGACCAUUGAUCAACACAAUUACAAAAAAACAAAGAUAGAUUAGGAAUAUAAUUUAGGCAAUUAGGAUUUCAAAUAUGAUAUAUACAUAUAUAUAUAUAUAUAUAUAUAUAUAUAUAUAUAUAGAGAGAGAGAGAGAGAGGGCUGAAUUGAGCCCUACAGCGUAAUCACUGGCAUCACACAUCAGCUCAAAUGGCAAAUCCCAAUUAGGUGCAGUAAUCACUGGUGCUGACGUUAGUUUUCUCUUUAAAUGCUCAAAUGCUGACACACAAGCCUCAUCAAAAUUAAAUUGUGCAUCCUUCUCCAAUAAACUGCAUAGUGGUUUAGUUAUCUUGGAGAAGUCCUUGAUGAAUCUGCGGUAGAAACCUGCAUGUCCCAAAAAACUGCGAACACCUUUUACUGAAGUAGGUGGUGGCAAGUUCUCUAUAGUUUCCAGCUUAGCCCUAUCCACCUCGAGUCCCUUCUUCAAAACCUUCUGUCCCAGUAUGAUUCCUUCUUGUACCAUGAAAUGGCACUUUUCCCAAUUCAUCACUAAAUUUGUCUCCACACACCUCUUCAAAACCAUAAUCAAAUUCUCAAGGCAUAAAUCAAACGAGUCCCCGAAAACUAAGAAAUCAUCCAUAAAAACCUCCACAUUCUGCUCCACCAUAUCUGAAAAUAUAGCCAUCAUGCAGCUCUAAAAGGUGGCUGGAGCAUUGCACAACCCGAAGGACAUCCUUUUGAAAGCAAAAUUGUCGUAUUGACAUGUGAAGGUUGUCUUUUCCUAGUCUUCUGGAGCUAUCACAAUUUGAUUGUAUCCCGAAUAUCCGUCCAGAAGGCAAUAGUACUCAUGACCUGCUAAUCUAUCCAACAUCUGAUCAAUGAGAUUCCAGGCAGGCACAGUUGAGCCAUGUCUAAGCCUAGGGCCAGCGCAGCUACGUAGCCCUCUGGCCAAGCCAAGGCUAAGCUGUUGCCUUGUGGUUUCUGUCCGGCAUGAACACAACAUUCACACAUAAUAUAUAUUAUCAUGUCAAAGGUCCUUUCGUGUCUCUCAAGUCAAUCUAGGUCCCUUCUUUUCAUAAUAUGGUUCUAAGUAGAACAUUUCAACAAGUUAAGGCCAUUCAAGGUCAUGAAACCACAAAGCUUAACAUGCUUGCUUUUUAAAUAUAUAAGGUAGUCAUAUAACUCAUAUUAGGCAUACUUAUGAGUAUUCAUAUUGCAUACAUGUAACUAUUUUAGUUAUUAUUUUGAAAACAUGCUUUAUUUAGUCUUAACUUGAUUUCACAACUCGUAACAUAGUAGGCAUAUAUAUGUAUGAUACAUUAGCAAGUCCAAAAGUAUCAUCAAAUAUGUUCAUAAAUGUCAGGUUCUAACUCUCAAAGUAGCAUGUUAACGUUCACAUUCAAAGUUCGUAUUUUCAUUAGUAAAGCUUACUAAUAAUUAUAACAUGUUCAUGCUUCCUUAUGAAUCAUAUAAACACAAGUUAACGGGUUAUUCAUGCAUUUCUAAACCAUACCAACAUGCUUGCAAAGUCAGUAUAUAAACAUGGCAUAUAUACAUAUCAAGUUCAUUUCUAAAGUUCUAAAUUCAUUUUAAACUAUACACUUUCGUUAAUCAUGUAUGCUAAUCUAGUAAACAUGCUCACAUUAGGUUACUGUACUUAUAUAUACACAUUACACAUGCUUGCAUGCUGGUUUAAGCUAUAGUAAUUGACCAACACUUAGCAAACUUUUAAAUAGAAGGCAAAAACUGAACACAGAGGCCAACGCAGCUGCGUUGUGCCCCAUUGUUAUACCGGCGUAGCUGCGCCACGUCAAGUUCAAACCACGAACAACCUACUUCGGCAGGAUUUUAGCCCAAACACAGAAAUCAUUCAUGAAUUCGAUUCUAAUCAGUCAUAUAACAGUUUAAACAUGCUUAUAUAGUUACAUAACAACUAUGUAAACUUUUCCCAACCCCAUUAUCAUCUAACUCCACAUAAUUUAAGAAAUUGGUAAUUCAAGAAUGGAAAUUUUGACAGAAACCAAAAAUGAAGAAUAAGAAGAAAUCUUAUACCUUUUUAAUUAGCUUGCUAAUUCACACUUCUUCUAUUGAUGUGUAUAUAAUUACUUACUCUAUAUAUGCUCUCAAUUUCACACUUAAGCAAUUCUCAGCAAUGCAAAAUGGAGAAGGAGAGUCCAUAUUUAUAGAAAAAAUAUUACACAGACAUUGUAAUUUCCCACUAAAUCAAAACCAUAGAUUGAAGGAUUGCAUGAAGGUUAUUAUUAAAGAGCUGUUAGAUGGUAGUUGAUUUACACUAUUAUGCCCACUCCCUUGUUCAUCGUUGUUAUCUAGUUUGCUAGCUUGAGCUUGGGAGAAAAAGAGGGAAAUAGGCCUCAGCCUUUUUGUUAUGCACGUGAAGAGAGAAAUGGGUCUUCCAAAUUGGGACAAACCAAACAACUCAGCAUUCUUGCAACACUUAGGCUAUACAUACACAAUCCCUACUCUUAUUGUAACGAUCCGAAAUUUCAAAUUGUAAUAUUAAAUAUUUAUUGAAUAAUAUAAUAUUUAUUUGAUGUGUCUAUAGUUGAAUGGAUGAAAUAAAUAUUUUAUUGAUGUGAUGGUUGUUAGUAAAUAUUUAUGAGUCUAAAUUUAUUAAAUAAUUUUUUAAAUUAAAUUAAUUUAUAAUUUAUAGAGUUAUAAUAUAACAUGAGAUGUUAUAUUGUUGUGUUGAUUUAAUAAUUUAGAUGGUAUAUUAAAUUAUUGAAUAAAGUUAUAAUGAAAAUUAUAAUUUUGUUAUAUUUGCUAAAAUGGUAUAUUUAAUUAAAAUAUAGUAUGUGAUUAAUUUAAUUGGUUAAUGUUGGAUAUGGAGAUCCAAAUAAAUAAUAUGUGAUUAUAAAUUAUAAACUAAAGUGUUUAUUAAAAUAAAUUAAAAAGGGUUUAAUUUAGAUUUUGCCAAAUAAGGCUUAAUAUAUUAAUUCUUUAAAAAUUAAAGGGUUUUGCCAAACAAAGCCUUAUGGCUUUUUGAAUUUCUAAUUUUUGAAUUUAAAUAAAAUAAAUAAUAUAAAUAAAAUAAUAAAUAUAAUAUAUUUAUAAUAUAUACGUUAUAUGUUGUAACUGAUGAGGCUUAUUAUGGCCAUAUCAGUUUUGUAUCUUUGAUAUUACGCAUACUAGUUGGUCAGUUGGAUAAUGGCUUAGUCUGAGGUUAGAGAGAAUUGAUAGAGAGCUUGAGAGAAUUGAGAGGAAACCUGUGAAUUUUCACAACAAUUCCAGUGAUUAGCAACGAUUGUAUUAGUAAUUGAAGGUAUGUUCUACAACUUUGAUAUUAUAUAUGUUUAUGAGUAUCACGACAAAGUUUUGUUAUGCUCUGUGAGUUCUAUUUCUUCCGAAUUAUUGUUAUGUAACUAAGUUAUGGUGGUUAUAAGUGAUAUAAUGUUAGAGUUUAUGUUUAAACAAGGAAGUUGCAUGCUAAUUCUGGUUAACAGUAGGAAAAUUUUGACAAAAUAUGUAUUUUUCAUAUGGCUUAUGUAAGUAUUAAUUUUGAUGAUCAAUUCGUAUGUUAAACAGCAAAUUUUGGCUUGUCUAUGUAAGUUCAUUAAGAAACUACGCCAGGCCUUUGUAUGGAGCAGCUGCGCCAUACCCUGGUUUGAGAUAUUGCCUUCUGCUGUUGCUGUAGACUUUGAAUAGCAACAUAACAUGGGUUAGGGCUGUGUUAGCAUGUCAAAUGAGUAAUGACAAGGUUACAACAACAUAGUGAAAUGUGGUUAGUAAUUCGAAUGUUAUAAAAAUUGGUAAACUAUGAAAGGGACGUGUUUUGAUUUAUUAAGCAUGAUAAAUAGUAAAUAGGCGUUGCGAAGAUUAACACUUGGAUUUUCUGAUAUUUGAAUAGUAGCUUAAGACUUGUGUUAACAUAACGAGUCUAACUAGAAAUGCAUAUGUUGUGGUAUUUUAGUAUAUCUAAUAGGUAUUGUGGUUCUAAACCUAUGUGUAGGUGAACAUGAGUUUAAUUUUAUAGCUUACACACGAGGCAAGUUUCUAAACUUCUCUUUUUUACAUUGAGCAAGCUUUCUAACUCUACAUUUUCGUUGAGCUAGUUCUAUUAUUACCUUGUGUAGCUUUAUUCUUUUGAUUGAGCAAGUUUUCUAUCUCAAACUGUUAUUGAACAAGUCAAUUAUUCCUAAAUUUUAUUUGAGCAAACUUUAACUCUAGUGUUAUUGGAAUUCUCAUUUUAGUUGAUUCAUUAUAACUUGUUUAUAGUUAAGCAAGUUUCUUAUGUUCUAUUCGUGUAUAAUGAACGCAGUUUUUGAACUCUCGUCUCUAUUAUUGAGCUGUUUUAUUUCUUUGCAUGAGUUAAUACUAUGUUGGGCAAGUUUUUAGUUUGCAGCUUGCUAUCAGUUAAUGUAUGUUCAGUAAUUUCAUUUCUAAUGUUAUAAGACCCUAACCUUAACUUAUUUAUUGUUCAAGCAAAGGUUUACCAUUUUAUUCAUUUUGUUGAAUACUUAUGCUCUAUAGUUAUUUCAAGCAUGAGUUUAAUAUGUAUAAUCAGUUCACCUAUGAUUCUCAAUUGUUUUAUGUUAUGUUGUUAUUAAACAACUGUUGUGUUAUCAAACACUAUUGAUUCAACUAGUUAUCUAGUUGAUGUUCGUUAAACUUCAAAUUACCCUAGAAGCUUAUCCAAACCAAACUUUCUUUGGUGCGGACUUGUACUCUAAAUACUGAGAUGAACAACCCUAUUAUUAUUAGGGGAUAAUUUACGCUUAGCGUUGAAAUGUUUGUGCACAAUACAUUGUACGAAGGGCUGAUCCCCCUAAAUACGAGGAGUCCUUAUAGUCAUAUGACUAUUAAAGUUGGAGUUGAAAGAUUACUCGCAACUGUGGACAUAGUUCAUGGUCUUAUGACCCUCAGUUAGAUAUAUUCCAUAUUUUGGAUUCUAGUUUUUGAUUAUCCUUGUUAGAGUACUAUUCAGUUUUGAUGAGCCUAUUCGUUGGCAAUUAUUAUUAUUAUUCUCCUGUUGAUUCAUUGUUAUAUCCAGUGAGCAAUUUUUUUUCUCACUCUUACAUAAAUAUUAUUAUUGCAGCUAAAGUUCGUAGAUGAGCCUUCAACUAGCAAAGGAAAGGGAAAAAUGUACAAGUGAUGCAAACUUGUAAUUUUUGACUAUUGUUAUGAUGUUAGUCUUUUAUUGUGAUGGUCAUAGACUUUUAAACAAUGAUGUGAUGUAAUAAUUUUAUUUCCGCACUUGAAUGAUGUUUAAAGGUUAGACAACCUGGGAAGAUUUUGUUUAAUAAUGUAACCCUAUUUAAAGGGAGGAUUUAUGGCUAAAUGUUAUUUUAUUUGGGUAGAAAUAUAGUAUGAAUGUAUGGAUAGUGAGCACCAAAUCUUGUGGGAAUAAAGUACCUAGAUUUGGGGGUGUCACACUUAUGUUAUAUUUUAUAUACAUAUCAGCCAUACAUGG
Molecule: long non-coding RNA, 42482 nt
Filed under: Panax ginseng (ginseng)
Lineage: Eukaryota; Viridiplantae; Streptophyta; Magnoliopsida; Apiales; Araliaceae
Description: long non-coding RNA (PGIN_LNC015678)
Source: RNAcentral